UGCUGGUGUCAUGUUCCCUGCAUUUAAACCGAAGAGAACCUCCUAGAGACUUCAGGCUUUUACAGAUUUAUUGACCAGAUGUCCUGGAAGUGCCCCCUGAUGCAGACCCAGUUGUUGGGUAGCCACCCACGCACGUUGACACAGCCCCCAGCAGUGGGCACCCAUGGGGAUGGACCCAGGAGUGGAGGAUGACCCAAUAGGUGGUGGGUAGCCACCCAUGCACGUUGACACAGCCAGCAGCGAGUACCCAGGGCGAUGGACCCAGAAGUGGAGGAUGAUCCAAUAGGUGUGAGGAAAAGACGCAUACUAGAGGGAGUCGAGGACUUGGCUGGCCUACAAAAUGUCACUAAGGGAUGCAACUGACGGCUGAAGUAGGAUCUUUUUUGUUUUUUGGCCAUGACAAUGC
Long non-coding RNA from Engraulis encrasicolus (European anchovy), 406 nucleotides. RefSeq lists it as uncharacterized. The record is from RefSeq and is a predicted model, not a curated record. The transcript has 5 exons. Lineage: Eukaryota; Metazoa; Chordata; Actinopteri; Clupeiformes; Engraulidae.